CACACGCUAGAUGCAUACACGCACAUAAUUGAAUUGCUCAUCUAUUUAAACUGUACAACAUCCCAAGAAUAAAUCUGCCUUCAUUCUCCUUCAUACAAGCUCUAACCUGCAGCAUGAGUUCUAUGCUGUUUCUUGUCUGUGUUGUCACUCUUACAAUAGGAAUUCCAUCUCACUGACGAUUAUGUUGAUAAUGUUCUAGCUUGGUGAUGGAAAACUUACUAUAAACUGUCAUUGUAGGAAUCUGGAAAAGCAACACAUUACCAUGUAUAGCUGCAUAGCUGAAUAUUUAUAACGUAAUCUUAACUAGCUAUUGGUCAUUUUAAUUUUGGUGUGACUGACAGAAAACAACCUAAUAACUGAGUGCAUUUAUACAGCCCUUUUCCAGAUACUCAAAGUGCUGGUAGGGGGAAAUUCACCUCUUCCACCACCAAUGUGUAGCACCCUAAGGUGAUGCACGGCUACAAUUUGUGCCAGAACUCUCACAGCACUUAAGCUAUCAGGUGGAGAGGUGAGGAGAGGUAUAUUCCAAUUGGGAAUCAAGGGGAUGAUUAGUUGGCCAUGAUGGAAAUGGGUCCGGUUCGGGAAUUUAGCGAGGACACCAGGGUUAACAUCCCUAAUCUUGCGAUAAGUGCAAUGUUUUUUUUAUGACCACAGAGAGUCAGUACACUCGUUUAAUGUCCCAUUCGAAAGGUGGGUGAAACAAAACACAACACAACAACACAACCACACCGACAAACAAACACUACCACAGAAACAAACAGUACAACCAUACAGUGAACAACAGUUAAGAAACGAAACAAUGCCCUAUUAUUUGUGCCAGAACGGAGAGGUGAGGAGUGAUACAGUAUAUUCCAGAGUAAAGUGCUUGGAAUUGACACCAAUCUCUUCAAUGUGGUCAACCAAGUAUGGGGAAAUGUGUGCACGGUAUUAUGUUUAAGGAAGUGCUUUGUGAGCGUGCACACCAAGAACACUUUACAUUCAUCAAACUACUAACAUAUAAAACCAACAACCAAUGGAAAUUAUAGUACGCCUUUAAAAUACAUGCCCAAAGUCAUUUCUAACCAUGUCACUGGUCUGUCCAUAAUGCUUACAAGAUUGGAAUGUCCACAGUGCAAGGUGUUCUACAUUGGACGGGCAAAGAGACGCCUUCAAGACCGCUUAGCGGAACACAAGUAUGCCAUACGGGUAGGCAAUGAAGACUACCCCAUGGCAAGGCACUACAAGUCCCUACACCAUGGCAACCCUGACUCCCUACAAGCUAUGGGUAUUGAUCAUAUUCCGGCCGCUAUUAGAAAAGGGGACCGUCUUAAACAGUUAAACCAAAGGGAAAGUUUUGGGAUUUACAAACUACAGGCCACUAAAUACUCUGGUUUAAUUAAGAUAUGGAUUUACAAACUACAGGCCACUAAAUACCCUGGUUUAAUGAAGAUAUGGAUUUACAAACUACAGGCCACUAAAUACCCUGGUUUAAUGAAGAUAUAGAUUUACAAACUACAGGCCACUAAAUACCCUGGUUUAAAUUAAGAUAUGGAUUUACAGACUACAGGCCACUAAAUACCCUGGUUUAAAUUAAGAUAUGGAUUUACAGACUACAGGCCACUAAAUACCCUGGUUUAAAUGAAGAUAUGGAUUU
Long non-coding RNA from Oncorhynchus tshawytscha (Chinook salmon), 1633 nucleotides. The record is from Ensembl. Lineage: Eukaryota; Metazoa; Chordata; Actinopteri; Salmoniformes; Salmonidae.